GCUGUGCUGAUCAACUUCAGAUCUUUGUUAUAAUUUUAUUUUUAUUUAAUUUUAUUAUUCUUUUUAAAUUUCUUGUACUGAAAUUUUAAUUUCAAUUAAUGAAAAAUUUAUUUUCUUACACUUUAAAUUUUUAUCUUUUAUUUUUAUUGUAAGUAGAUGCUGGAAUCUAGUUAGUAAAUCUUAGUACCAAUUUAUUUUAUACUUUUUAAAUUUUUAUUAUUUAUUUUUAUUGUAAGUAGAAGCUAGGAUCUAGUUAG
This 257-nucleotide long non-coding RNA is filed under the name Elaeis guineensis (African oil palm). RNAcentral describes it as "long non-coding RNA (EGUI_LNC052384)". Lineage: Eukaryota; Viridiplantae; Streptophyta; Magnoliopsida; Arecales; Arecaceae. The record is from RNAcentral.